UUUGUUAUCAGUUUUAUCUAAUGUUUCUAAUCCUUGAGGGUGGCAGAGCCCUGGAAGAGGCUGCCCAGGGAGGUGGUGGAGUCUCCUUCUCUGGAGACAUUCAAACCCCACCUGGACACGUUCCUGUGGGACCUGCUCUGGGUGGACCUGCUUUGGCAGGGGGUUGGACUAGAUGAUCUCCAGAGGUCCCUUCCAACCCCAUAGCAUUCUGUGAUUCUAGCAAGGCAACUGUGAAUAACUUUUUGAUUUUUUGAGAUGCAGUCCAUGUUCUUCCCUACCGAUUUCUCACAGCUCUGUCCCCAUGUGAAAGUGUAUAUUUUUCUAUCCAUUCAUUUUAAAUUGUGUCUUUUUAACAGUAAUGGCAAAGUAUAAGAAAUGCCGGCGGAAAAAGGGAGCCAGAGCAAAAUUUCUAUGGGGAAAAAAAGGAGAUGCUGCAAAUCCAAACCCCCAGGGUUCUGGUUGUCAUACUCCACGGUAAGAGACUCAGCUGGACAUUUUCCCUUUAGCUCAGUUUCUGGGUCCGCUGCUUGCUAAUGGAACUGAGGAAACAGAAUUGCAUUUGGAGUUUCUACAUCCUGGUAUGGAUGCUGCAGAAUUGUUUAAUCUUGUGUAUCUUUUAGUACUCUAUCUAUUGUUAACUUUAACGUGCAGGAAAAGCAAUUUGGAUAAAAACAUAUUGCAAAUAUUAUUUCCUCCCCUCCUUUAUUGAAAUGUAUCUUAGUCUUUCCUAGUCUCUGUGCUCAUGUUUACCCUGUUGUCACCUGCUCUUGCUGGUACUUGUCAUUUCCAGAUGAUUGGUCACAGUUAACCUUUUUGAAGGCUGAAAUUAUAGAUAUAAUUUUGACUGCAUUCUGUGAUGUUCUGUCCCAGGUCAGCAGUUGAUCCUCCUCCGAACGCGUCACCUGCCCCAAGCCAUCUGUCCUCACUCUGGUCAUUAGCCUUGCCCAGCGUAAAAAAUGUGGUAAAACCCUUUACAACAACAGCAUCAUUUUUGUAUUGUUGGUGCCAGAACACGGUUGCACAGAGUUUUAAGGCGGUUAAAGACACCAUAUUUCCAUCACAAAUAUAUUUAAGGGAGUUAAAUACGUUCAGAGAGCAGCUGGAAAAGUUGGAAGCUGAGUUUUCCAGACUACAAGGAACGCUCCAGGUGAGUUUCAGUCCCAGUGGGGCAGGGUAACGUUUGCUUGUGGGAGCGCGUAAGGAACUGUGGUCAGUGCAGAUAAACUGAAAUCUGAAGAGCUUCU
This 1244-nucleotide long non-coding RNA is filed under the name Calidris pygmaea (Spoon-billed sandpiper). RNAcentral describes it as "lncRNA (ENSCPGG00000016433.1)". The record is from RNAcentral. Lineage: Eukaryota; Metazoa; Chordata; Aves; Charadriiformes; Scolopacidae.